Long non-coding RNA from Equus quagga, 1800 nucleotides. RefSeq lists it as uncharacterized. The record is from RefSeq and is a predicted model, not a curated record. The transcript has 2 exons. Lineage: Eukaryota; Metazoa; Chordata; Mammalia; Perissodactyla; Equidae.
AAAAUCACGCAUUUUACUAUCUUCCCAUUAAAAAGAAUUGUUCCAUCCAAUGCAAGUGGUAAUACACUUCCCUGUUGGAAUAAAAUUCUGUUAGAUUUGUUGUGUCUUUUUAUAGGUAAGAUAGUAAGGUGAGCUUGUAAGUAAUUUGUGGGGUACUCUUGAUGUGCAUAAAACUUCAGUCAGCAGAGGGAGGGUUAUUACUUUUGCUUUUAAUGAGUGAUUUUAGUAACCUACUUCUGCUAAGGUUGAGUUUUACAAUCUCUCCCUUUCUAAGUUUCACUUGUAUUUUUUAUUAUUUGGUCUUCCACGCCAUGGAUUAGUAUGUCAUUCUAAGACUUUAAAAUGUCAUUCUAAGAUUACUGAAGUAUUAAGACGCAUCUGAGCCACUUCAACCUCUUCCCUUUACCUUUAUUCUCUAGCCUGCAUCAUAUUAUAUAGGAUGUGAACUGUAUACUUGCAUUGAGAAAAGUUAUUAAGCUGUCUCUUUUUUUUCCUUUGCAAAUCCAAAAUAAGGAAGUCUUUAGAGAGAGAGAGAUCUAAUCAUGCAAUUAACAGGAAAGAGGUCUUAUGCAAUGAUAGAGAUUGUACCAUUAAGUAGCAGGCAGUGCAGUCCCUGACCCCACGCCUGCUGUUAUCUAGUGGGGUAAUUAGAUGGGUAAUGAUGGAAACCUCGUGUUGUAGAAGAGCAGAAUAGGGACCUGUGCCCCUGACUUUGGAAAUCGAUGUAGCCGUGCUGUCAGCCAAAGUGAGACCUGAUAUCUGAAUAGGAAUUAGCCAGGUGAGAGGAGGGGUGGAAGAGAUGGAGGGAUAAAACAAGCCUGGUCCAGCAAGAGGAGGUAGCAUGACCCUUUCAAAAUAAUAAAUAAAGAGUGGUGGUGCAUGGGGGAAGAAAAGGUUGUAGAAUUAGGCAGGGCAUUGUAAGCCCAGAUAAAAUGAUUGGUUUUCCUCCUAAAAGCAACAGAAACCAUUGAAGGGCCUUAAAUAGAUAAAUUAGAUGAUCAGAUUUGUAAUUUAGAAAGUUCGCUUAUUUGUAAUUAUUGAAUAAUUUAGAAAGAGGAAAGACUAGACAGUAGAAGACCAAUUAGGAGUUUGUAGAAGCUCUUACCUACAGCUAAUGUAGCAGUUGGGUUCUUGUCAUUUUAUUACCACUUGCGUAAAGUGCAUUCGUGUGCGCAUGUGUGUGUAUUCCACUGUGGAGAUAAUUUCUCCAUGGAAACUACGUAGGUGAGCAAAAGAGCUUCACAUUCAAACCUAUAUCCUGCUUUAUUAAGAGUAUGUUUCUGGAUAUGAGAGACACUUACCAUCAUUUAUUUGUUCUGGACAGGGUGCUGGAACUCGUGAUAAGAUAUUGAUCAGGAUUAUGGUGUCCCGUUCUGAAGUCGACAUGAAUGAUAUCAAAGCAUGCUAUCAGAAGUUGUAUGGUAUCUCACUCUGCCAAGCCAUCCUGGAUGAAACCAAGGGAGAUUACGAAAAGAUCCUGGUGGCUCUCUGUGGAAGAGACUAAACAUUCCUUUCACGCUCUCAAGCAUUUUCAUCAGAAGACUUUUUAAGCCUAUCUUUUCAUUCCAUAUCGUAGACAAAUAAGAAAGUUCUUCAACAGGAUUAUAGUCUAGCUAACUUCUUUCUAGAAAAAAUUGCCUAUAAAUCACUUUUAUAUCACGAUUCUGUAUGAUAGAGAUAAGUUUUUUUAAAAAAAAUAUACUUACCCCAAACUAUCAAACCCCAUAAACAGGUUGUUCUGGUACUAUUAGCUGCGAAAGAUGUCUGUGUAGCAGAAAAUAAAAUGAUUUUAUAAGACAA